This 1915-nucleotide long non-coding RNA is filed under the name Cottoperca gobio. RNAcentral describes it as "lncRNA (ENSCGOG00000017740.1)". Lineage: Eukaryota; Metazoa; Chordata; Actinopteri; Perciformes; Bovichtidae. The record is from RNAcentral.
GGGAGCUUCAUCAUCUCUAAACCAAAUCAGAUCUUCUGCUACGACGUCAGCUGGAAUAUGUCUUUUUAAAAGCUGUUGCAACAUCUGCUGACGGUCUCGGGCAAACAUUUGGAACGUAAAACUGAACUGUUAGAGGGAAAAGGAAUCUGCUGAUCCUUUUUCCCUCUCUGCGUUAUGUCUAGACACGGACAAAGCCGGCUUGGAAAGUCUCCCCUCCUCCUCCUCCUCCUCCUCGCCGUCCUCCGCAUAUGUUGUGAAUGAAUGACUCACUGCUGUCCACUUCCUCCUUCUCCAGGACCUUUCCCUCCCUGCUCGCACAGUUUCCACAACUUGACCUCGUUUGCCUCGGUCUGGAUUGUGGGUUGAGCUGCAGGGUUACAGCUGACAUCAUCGCUCUGUGUGCAGCACGAGCUGCUGAGGUUCGUAGGGAAGUGACGUCCUACAAGUCUGUCCGAGAGAUCCACAGUGUCGUACCUCUCUCUCCCUGCUGUCCCGGUGAACCUGGAUUUCCAUGUAAUCCGCUCCUUCCCGCGGCGCCGGGCUCUCCGCGGGGUCCCUGCCUGCCGGUGGGUCCUGCGGGCCCUGCGGGACCCGGGUUGUUGCUGCGGUACAUGCCGUUAGGGAUCUGGUUCAGUAGCGUGUUGACUCGAGUCAUUUGUGCUGCAACACCAGAAGAGAAAAGUGUUAACGAACCCGAGAGGCUGCGUCACAGAGACGCAACUUUCCAAACGUACCGUUCACCAGCGUCUCGCACACUUGUCGGGCAAUAGAUCGCAUCAUGUUCUGAGGAGCGAAGUCGCCCUGUGGACACAAAGACAGACGUGAAGACAAAACGGGAAUAAAAUGUACAUCUGAGGUUAUUUGCAGAUGGAAACUGAUGUUAUACCGUAUCAUAAAUAAUCCAUUAUUUACUAGAGUUCUGUGAAAUGUGCAGAUUUAGGGUUUGAACUGAACAUUUAAUUGAUCAAAUAAAUGUUUUACAAUAAAGAAUGAAGGGAAAUGUAAUAAUUAAAACUCCUCAAUAAGCAUGCACAUAAAGCGAGCAGGUGUUAACAAGUUAUAAACUGCUGAACUCACUUAAACAGGACAUAAAAUAACAUUAGAUAAGAUUUAUAUUAACAUUCUCCACCCUUUGCAAACUUAGUUGAGAUGUAUGAAUCUAUUAUUCCUGAUGUUUGAUUCCUUCACUUUGAUCACUUUCGGUAGAUUUCGAUUUCUGCAUUGAUCCAUCUUCACUUUGUUUUAUCUGUGGAGCUUCUUGUGUGCUGUGAACUACAUGCCACAUCCUUAAAGUACUUGCAUGAAACAGCUCAGAAGCUCUGACCUUUUGUCAAACAUUUGGAUUAAAUAGAAAUCCUUUCUUAAGAUUUGAUCGUUGUUUGGCGUUCUUACAUCUUCACAUGUCCUCGGUUAUGUCUUGACAUGACAUUCUGUCCUAACAAGACAUUUAGCUUCACGAGUUCCAAAACCUUAUCUUCUUAAAUUAGAUUAAGGCAAUCUUCCAAAUCUUGUUUCUAAAUAUUAAAAAGUAUUUUUUAAGAACGACUGAUUGAGUCCAGUCAAGGUUUUCUUUAUCUCACUUUGGAUUCAAACUUAAGGUUUUUAAAUGUUCAAAAAUAAAUCCCGAUGUACUCACUCUCUCCCCCUUGUCUCCCUUUGAACCGACAGCGCCCUAAAAACAGAAAGUUAAAACGGUUUAGUCGACAGGACAUCGUUUAAUCUCCGGCUGGAUUCAAAGCCGACAGCCAGGACACUUACAGGAGUCCCGGAGUCUCCGGGGUUCCCUGGUUUUCCUCCACCACCUUGUGCUCCAGGAGAUCCUGGAGGUCCCUGCAAGGAAACAGAACCACUGAGUUAGAAGACGAGCAAAAGCAUCUUCAUCACUUUAACCAAGAAAAUGGUUCAUCUGUGUAAA